This 415-nucleotide unclassified non-coding RNA is filed under the name Hevea brasiliensis (rubber tree). Lineage: Eukaryota; Viridiplantae; Streptophyta; Magnoliopsida; Malpighiales; Euphorbiaceae. The record is from RNAcentral.
GUUGAACUCCACUGCUGUCCGCAAUCAAGAAUCAAAGGUCUCUCACCACUAAUCGCAGCUUGUUGAGCAAUCUCAUUGAAUUUUCCUAGGGUUACUUGUGAACUUUUAACAUGCCUUAUGCUUUCUCGGACCUUGUGGGUCACAUCUCGAAUUGCUUCCAUGACAUCGGAAACAAUUGAUUUCAUUAACUGUACUGCACAGCGCACAUCAAACAAUUCACCAUUCUUUAACAGAGGCCUGUUUUGAGAAAGCCAGUCUUUGAUCCUAAAAAUCAGUUCUUCAUAGCCCGUACAAUGAUCGAAAGUCAUUGAAAACAACUUACGAUCAAUGGCCCAGUCUGUCAAACUUUUUACAACAACUUCUGAAAGUAUGUCAUCUGUGUGAGAAGGGUCCAGUGUGAUGAAAUUCAGCAUUU